GAUGAACGCUAGCUACAGGCUUAACACAUGCAAGUCGCGGGGCAGCAUGGGGGUUGCUUGCAAUCCCCGAUGGCGACCGGCGCACGGGUGAGUAACGCGUAUCCAACCUGCCCUUCACCACGGGAUAACCCGGCGAAAGUCGGACUAAUACCGUAUGUUGUCCAUUGGCGGCAUCCGAUUUGGACGAAAGGCUUGGCGGUGAGGGAUGGGGAUGCGUCCGAUUAGCCAGACGGCGGGGUAACGGCCCACCGUGGCUACGAUCGGUAGGGGUUCUGAGAGGAAGGUCCCCCACACUGGAACUGAGACUCGGUCCAGACUCCUACGGGAGGCAGCAGUGAGGAAUAUUGGUCAAUGGGCGUAAGCCUGAACCAGCCAAGUAGCGUGCAGGAGGACGGCCCUAUGGGUUGUAAACUGCUUUUAUGCGGGGAUAAAGUGGCCCACGUGUGGGCUUUUGCAGGUACCGCAUGAAUAAGGACCGGCUAAUUCCGUG
This 490-nucleotide ribosomal RNA is filed under the name uncultured bacterium. RNAcentral describes it as "partial 16S ribosomal RNA". It matches the Rfam family "Bacterial small subunit ribosomal RNA", at positions 28 to 507 of the family's 1533-position model. The record is from RNAcentral.